AUCUAAGUAGCUUAAAUUAGAGCAUAACAUUGAAGCUGUUAAGGUAAUUGUAUGAUUCUUAGGUG
Molecule: transfer RNA, 65 nt
Filed under: Dacus trimacula
Lineage: Eukaryota; Metazoa; Arthropoda; Insecta; Diptera; Tephritidae
Description: tRNA-Phe
Rfam family: tRNA
About the family: Transfer RNA (tRNA) molecules are approximately 80 nucleotides in length. Their secondary structure includes four short double-helical elements and three loops (D, anti-codon, and T loops). Further hydrogen bonds mediate the characteristic L-shaped molecular structure. tRNAs have two regions of fundamental functional importance: the anti-codon, which is responsible for specific mRNA codon recognition, and the 3' end, to which the tRNAs corresponding amino acid is attached (by aminoacyl-tRNA synthetases). tRNAs cope with the degeneracy of the genetic code in two manners: having more than one tRNA (with a specific anti-codon) for a particular amino acid; and 'wobble' base-pairing, i.e. permitting non-standard base-pairing at the 3rd anti-codon position.
Source: RNAcentral